RNAcentral lists this ribosomal RNA (220 nucleotides) under uncultured bacterium. Its description in RNAcentral is "partial 16S ribosomal RNA". It matches the Rfam family "Bacterial small subunit ribosomal RNA", at positions 129 to 334 of the family's 1533-position model. The record is from RNAcentral.
CCCUUCAGAGGGGACGACAGUUGGAAACGACUGCUAAUACCGCAUACGAUCUGACCUCGGCAUCGAGGAUAGAUGAAAGGUGGCCUCUAUUUAUAAGCUAUCACUGAAGGAGGGGAUUGCGUCUGAUUAGCUAGUUGGAGGGGUAACGGCCCACCAAGGCGAUGAUCAGUAGCCGGUCUGAGAGGAUGAACGGCCACAUUGGGACUGAGACACGGCCCAG